CCUACGGGAGGCAGCAGUGGGGAAUAUUGCACAAUGGGGGAAACCCUGAUGCAGCGACGCCGCGUGAGUGAAGAAGUAUUUCGGUAUGUAAAGCUCUAUCAGCAGGGAAGAAGCAAGACGGUACCUGACUAAGAAGCCCCGGCUAACUACGUGCCAGCAGCCGCGGUAAUACGUAGGGGGCAAGCGUUAUCCGGAUUUACUGGGUGUAAAGGGAGCGUAGACGGUGAUGCAAGUCAGAAGUGAAAGCCCGGGGCUCAACUCCGGGACUGCUUUUGAAACUGUGUGACUGGAGUGCAGGAGAGGUAAGCGGAAUUCCUGGUGUAGCGGUGAAAUGCGUAGAUAUCAGGAGGAACACCAGUGGCGAAGGCGGCUUACUGGACUGUAACUGACGUUGAGGCUCGAAAGCGUGGGGAGCAAACAGGAUUAGAUACCCUUGUAGUC
Molecule: ribosomal RNA, 441 nt
Filed under: uncultured bacterium
Lineage: Bacteria
Description: partial 16S ribosomal RNA
Rfam family: Bacterial small subunit ribosomal RNA
Source: RNAcentral